CUGUCACUUAUAGAUGGAUCCGCGCUGCAUUAGCUAGUUGGUAAGGUAACGGCUUACCAAGGCAACGAUGCAUAGCCGACCUGAGAGGGUGAUCGGCCACACUGGAACUGAGACACGGUCCAGACUCCUACGGGAGGCAGCAGUAGGGAAUCUUCCGCAAUGGGCGAAAGCCUGACGGAGCAACGCCGCGUGAGUGAUGAAGGUCUUCGGAUCGUAAAACUCUGUUAUUAGGGAAGAACAUAUGUGUAAGUAACUGUGCACAUCUUGACGGUACCUAAUCAGAAAGCCACGGCUAACUACGUGCCAGCAGCCGCGGUAAUACGUAGGUGGCAAGCGUUAUCCGGAAUUAUUGGGCGUAAAGCGCGCGUAGGCGGUUUUUUAAGUCUGAUGUGAAAGCCCACGGCUCAACCGUGGAGGGUCAUUGGAAACUGGAAAACUUGAGUGCAGAAGAGGAAAGUGGAAUUCCAUGUGUAGCGGUGAAAUGCGCAGAGAUAUGGAGGAACACCAGUGGCGAAGGCGACUUUCUGGUCUGUAACUGACGCUGAUGUGCGAAAGCGUGGGGAUCAAACAGGAUUAGAUACCCUGGUAGUCCACGCCGUAAACGAUGAGUGCUAAGUGUUAGGGGGUUUCCGCCCCUUAGUGCUGCAGCUAACGCAUUAAGCACUCCGCCUGGGGAGUACGACCGCAAGGUUGAAACUCAAAGGAAUUGACGGGGACCCGCACAAGCGGUGGAGCAUGUGGUUUAAUUCGAAGCAACGCGAAGAACCUUACCAAAUCUUGACAUCCUUUGACAACUCUAGAGAUAGAGCCUUCCCCUUCGGGGGACAAAGUGACAGGUGGUGCAUGGUUGUCGUCAGCUCGUGUCGUGAGAUGUUGGGUUAAGUCCCGCAACGAGCGCAACCCUUAAGCUUAGUUGCCAUCAUUAAGUUGGGCACUCUAAGUUGACUGCCGGUGACAAACCGGAGGAAGGUGGGGAUGACGUCAAAUCAUCAUGCCCCUUAUGAUUUGGGCUACACACGUGCUACAAUGGACAAUACAAAGGGCAGCGAAACCGCGAGGUCAAGCAAAUCCCAUAAAGUUGUUCUCAGUUCGGAUUGUAGUCUGCAACUCGACUACAUGAAGCUGGAAUCGCUAGUAAUCGUAGAUCAGCAUGCUACGGUGAAUACGUUCCCGGGUCUUGUACACACCGCCCGUCACACCACGAGAGUUUGUAACACCCGAAGCCGGUGGAGUAACCUUUUAGGAGCUAGCCGUCGAAGGUGGGACAAAUGAUUGGGGUGAAGUCGUAACAAGGUAGCCGUAUCGGAAGGUGCGGCUGGAUCACCU
Molecule: ribosomal RNA, 1326 nt
Filed under: Staphylococcus aureus
Lineage: Bacteria; Bacillati; Bacillota; Bacilli; Caryophanales; Staphylococcaceae
Description: bacterial SSU rRNA
Rfam family: Bacterial small subunit ribosomal RNA
Source: RNAcentral